CAGUAUUUCGCGAACAACGCGAGAUAAGGUGCUCAGAAGGCAGGGCAAGAGCGGUGACUACAGGCAACGAGACACCCCAGCUGUGCAGAGUAACUGAGGGCUCCCCCUGGCUGUCGGUACCUGCUACUGCGCUGGCAUGCCAGGUUCUCUUGGCCUUUCCCCACACCGCCAGUGUGUGCGGGUGCCUUUCCCUCCGCUACUGACUCUCCGCUGCAGAUGGCGCCACAUCUGGGGAGCACUGCACGGCUUCCAUCACGCACAUCUGUCGCCAGACCCGUCCGUCUCGGGCCCCAUGAGCACAGCUGCUGGCCUCGGAUGACGGACGUGGGUCUCCUAGUUACGCCACA
Long non-coding RNA from Brienomyrus brachyistius, 347 nucleotides. RefSeq lists it as uncharacterized. NCBI's taxonomy places the organism in Eukaryota, Metazoa, Chordata, Actinopteri, Osteoglossiformes, Mormyridae. The transcript has 3 exons. The record is from RefSeq and is a predicted model, not a curated record.